This 484-nucleotide ribosomal RNA is filed under the name uncultured bacterium. RNAcentral describes it as "partial 16S ribosomal RNA". It matches the Rfam family "Bacterial small subunit ribosomal RNA", at positions 30 to 507 of the family's 1533-position model. The record is from RNAcentral.
AUUGAACGCUGGCGGCAGGCCUAACACAUGCAAGUCGAGCGGAUGAAGGGAGCUUGCUCCUGGAUUCAGCGGCGGACGGGUGAGUAAUGCCUAGGAAUCUGCCUGGUAGUGGGGGAUAACGUCCGGACACGGGCGCUAAUACCGCAUACGUCCUGAGGUAGAAAGUGGGGGAUCUUCGGACCUCACGCUAUCAGAUGAGCCUAGGUCGGAUUAGCUAGUUGGUGGGGUAAAGGCCUACCAAGGCGACGAUCCGUAACUGGUCUGAGAGGAUGAUCAGUCACACUGGAACUGAGACACGGUCCAGACUCCUACGGGAGGCAGCAGUGGGGAAUAUUGGACAAUGGGCGAAAGCCUGAUCCAGCCAUGCCGCGUGUGUGAAGAAGGUCUUCGGAUUGUAAAGCACUUUAAGUUGGGAGGAAGGGCAGUAAGUUAAUACCUGGCUGUUUUGACGUUACCAACAGAAUAAGCACCGGCUAACUUCGUG